AGGGGCGAGGAUGUUUCGCCAGCCUGUCAGCGUCUCGUUAAAGCUCUCGCAGGGGAAUGCACAGCACGCGGGGAAGGAGAAGGGGGCGAGGGAGACGGGGGACCGAUGCCAGAGACUACGUAAAUCACGGAACAGGAAGUUAUUCCAGAAGCUGCUUCGCCAGCAGCUGGUAGUUUAUCUGCCGGCAUUGACAGGAAUCCAAAGAGGAAAGCCUGGGAACAUAGCGCACCAAGAUGUCCAACUGGAAAGGCUGCAGCAUGAUGUCGUGUUACUGUUGGCUCUCCUGAUCUUCUCCAGCGAGGCCAACCAGGAGAUCCUGCGAAGUAUCAGGAACCCAGGGCCACAAGUGGAAGUUCGGAUGACCUGAAACUAUGAGCUCCUGCUGCCCCCUGACCCCACGCAGGUGCUAUUCACAGCGCACGCUCUAGAUGACACCAAGUGAGAUCUAUCUGCAGCUUUGAACCAACGCUAUGAGAUGGACCCGAUGUAAGUUUAAUUACCUACUGUUGAUAGCCUGAGACAUCACUUCUCGCCAGCGGCUCAGAUGACUAUUAUUAAAUAAAAAAUUCUCCGUUUCACCUUGGCAUAACCCAAGUCAGAUUAUCGCACACAAAA
RNAcentral lists this long non-coding RNA (615 nucleotides) under Lepisosteus oculatus (spotted gar). RNAcentral describes it as "lncRNA (ENSLOCG00000022525.1)". The record is from RNAcentral. Lineage: Eukaryota; Metazoa; Chordata; Actinopteri; Semionotiformes; Lepisosteidae.